UCGGUGCUUGCACCGAGAUUCAACAUGGAACGAGUGGCGGACGGGUGAGUAACACGUGGGUAACCUGCCCUUAAGUGGGGGAUAACAUUUGGAAACAGAUGCUAAUACCGCAUAGAUCCAAGAACCGCAKGGUUCUUGGCUGAAAGAUGGCGUAAGCUAUCGCUUUUGGAUGGACCCGCGGCGUAUUAGCUAGUUGGUGAGGUAAUGGCUCACCAAGGCGAUGAUACGUAGCCGAACUGAGAGGUUGAUCGGCCACAUUGGGACUGAGACACGGCCCAAACUCCUACGGGAGGCAGCAGUAGGGAAUCUUCCACAAUGGACGCAAGUCUGAUGGAGCAACGCCGCGUGAGUGAAGAAGGCUUUCGGGUCGUAAAACUCUGUUGUUGGAGAAGAAUGGUCGGCAGAGUAACUGUUGUCGGCGUGACGGUAUCCAACCAGAAAGCCACGGCUAACUACGUGCCAGCAGCCGCGGUAAUACGUAGGUGGCAAGCGUUAUCCGGAUUUAUUGGGCGUAAAGCGAGCGCAGGCGGUUUUUUAAGUCUGAUGUGAAAGCCCUCGGCUUAACCGAGGAAGCGCAUCGGAAACUGGGAAACUUGAGUGCAGAAGAGGACAGUGGAACUCCAUGUGUAGCGGUGAAAUGCGUAGAUAUAUGGAAGAACACCAGUGGCGAAGGCGGCUGUCUGGUCUGUAACUGACGCUGAGGCUCGAAAGCAUGGGUAGCGAACAGGAUUAGAUACCCUGGUAGUCCAUGCCGUAAACGAUGAAUGCUAGGUGUUGGAGGGUUUCCGCCCUUCAGUGCCGCAGCUAACGCAUUAAGCAUUCCGCCUGGGGAGUACGACCGCAAGGUUGAAACUCAAAGGAAUUGACGGGGGCCCGCACAAGCGGUGGAGCAUGUGGUUUAAUUCGAAGCAACGCGAAGAACCUUACCAGGUCUUGACAUCUUUUGAUCACCUGAGAGAUCAGGUUUCCCCUUCGGGGGCAAAAUGACAG
This 990-nucleotide ribosomal RNA is filed under the name Lacticaseibacillus paracasei. RNAcentral describes it as "bacterial SSU rRNA". It matches the Rfam family "Bacterial small subunit ribosomal RNA", at positions 73 to 1037 of the family's 1533-position model. The record is from RNAcentral. Lineage: Bacteria; Bacillati; Bacillota; Bacilli; Lactobacillales; Lactobacillaceae.